AAUGGGUCAGCGACUUAUAUUCUGUAGCAAGGUUAACCGAAUAGGGGAGCCGAAGGGAAACCGAGUCUUAACUGGGCGUUAAGUUGCAGGGUAUAGACCCGAAACCCGGUGAUCUAGCCAUGGGCAGGUUGAAGGUUGGGUAACACUAACUGGAGGACCGAACCGACUAAUGUUGAAAAAUUAGCGGAUGACUUGUGGCUGGGGGUGAAAGGCCAAUCAAACCGGGAGAUAGCUGGUUCUCCCCGAAAGCUAUUUAGGUAGCGCCUCGUGAAUUCAUCUCCGGGGGUAGAGCACUGUUUCGGCAAGGGGGUCAUCCCGACUUACCAACCCGAUGCAAACUGCGAAUACCGGAGAAUGUUAUCACGGGAGACACACGGCGGGUGCUAACGUCCGUCGUGAAGAGGGAAACAACCCAGACCGCCAGCUAAGGUCCCAAAGUCAUGGUUAAGUGGGAAACGAUGUGGGAAGGCCCAGACAGCCAGGAUGUUGGCUUAGAAGCAGCCAUCAUUUAAAGAAAGCGUAAUAGCUCACUGGUCGAGUCGGCCUGCGCGGAAGAUGUAACGGGGCUAAACCAUGCACCGAAGCUGCGGCAGCGACACUAUGUGUUGUUGGGUAGGGGAGCGUUCUGUAAGCCUGUGAAGGUGUGCUGUGAGGCAUGCUGGAGGUAUCAGAAGUGCGAAUGCUGACAUAAGUAACGAUAAAGCGGGUGAAAAGCCCGCUCGCCGGAAGACCAAGGGUUCCUGUCCAACGUUAAUCGGGGCAGGGUGAGUCGACCCCUAAGGCGAGGCCGAAAGGCGUAGUCGAUGGGAAACAGGUUAAUAUUCCUGUACUUGGUGUUACUGCGAAGGGGGGACGGAGAAGGCUAUGUUGGCCGGGCGACGGUUGUCCCGGUUUAAGCGUGUAGGCUGGUUUUCCAGGCAAAUCCGGAAAAUCAAGGCUGAGGCGUGAUGACGAGGCACUACGGUG
RNAcentral lists this ribosomal RNA (966 nucleotides) under Escherichia coli. Its description in RNAcentral is "partial 23S ribosomal RNA". It matches the Rfam family "Bacterial large subunit ribosomal RNA", at positions 614 to 1584 of the family's 2925-position model. Lineage: Bacteria; Pseudomonadati; Pseudomonadota; Gammaproteobacteria; Enterobacterales; Enterobacteriaceae. The record is from RNAcentral.